This is a long non-coding RNA of Diceros bicornis minor, 658 nucleotides long. RefSeq lists it as uncharacterized. The transcript is spliced from 4 exons. The record is from RefSeq and is a predicted model, not a curated record. Lineage: Eukaryota; Metazoa; Chordata; Mammalia; Perissodactyla; Rhinocerotidae.
CCUGCACGGCCGCCGGUGAAUCAAAAAGGGUCCCAGGAAACCUGUGAAUGUUGAAGAAAAUUCGUCUGUGAAUUUUUGGUAUUCAAGGAGGAGUCAGUAUUUAUAUUCAUCUUUUAAACUGGGAAGAUUUAUAUUUUAUUUUAAAACUUCUUGAUAUUUACAAUGAAUGGACACAGUGAUGAAGAAAGUGUUAGAAACAGUAGUGGAGAAUCAAGCCCCUUCAGGAUGCAGACCUGAAAAUGAGGCUCAGAGCGGCAGUGACUUACCAAAUAUCACACAUCUGGGACCUAGAGAAGUUCUGACUGGUAUUCUAUGUGAUGUCCUACUCCUUGUACUUCAUCCAUCUCUAAGUGUGUGCAUUAGACACAUGUGACACCAGCCCACAGGUGUUAUAUAAAGCUUUAGGAAUCUCUCAAAUCCCAUUGAUAAGAGACAGGAUGUCUCCCCUGGAUUAUCCACUGAUUGGAUUAUCCACUCCCUUCCUCCAUAAAAGGGGAAUCAGAGGCAGAACUCACUGCAUUUUCCAGCAAUCCACGGGCUGUCUGCACAUCAGGAGUGGGGUCAGCAGGACAACUCUGCAGCCAUGGAGGAACCUGCAUCGGCCUGUUUUCCAAGCCAGCCUAUUCUGGUGAGUGUGGAAUCCAUACAGAUGGAAAGA